GCGGGCGUGCCCGAGGGGCCCAAGGGAACUGCCUUCCAAGCAGCAAAGCCGUCGGUUCGAUUCCGACCGCCCGCUCCA
This 78-nucleotide transfer RNA is filed under the name Ramlibacter alkalitolerans. RNAcentral's name for it is "tRNA-Gly". It matches the Rfam family "tRNA". From Rfam's summary of the family: Transfer RNA (tRNA) molecules are approximately 80 nucleotides in length. Their secondary structure includes four short double-helical elements and three loops (D, anti-codon, and T loops). Further hydrogen bonds mediate the characteristic L-shaped molecular structure. tRNAs have two regions of fundamental functional importance: the anti-codon, which is responsible for specific mRNA codon recognition, and the 3' end, to which the tRNAs corresponding amino acid is attached (by aminoacyl-tRNA synthetases). tRNAs cope with the degeneracy of the genetic code in two manners: having more than one tRNA (with a specific anti-codon) for a particular amino acid; and 'wobble' base-pairing, i.e. permitting non-standard base-pairing at the 3rd anti-codon position. Lineage: Bacteria; Pseudomonadati; Pseudomonadota; Betaproteobacteria; Burkholderiales; Comamonadaceae. The record is from RNAcentral.